CUUUCUCAGAACUGGGAUCUUCAUUGUAAUUAAAAGCAUGUUAAGCAGGCAUGUGAUAACCAGCACUGCCACAUAUUUUCUGCCACAAUCAUCUAAUAGUCGUCCAUUUACACGAAGAGCAAAGCAGGCAACAAGAGAGAAAGCAGUAUUUGAAGGUUGAAAAGAGUCUAACAGCUUCAAAUUUAAUUAACUGCUGAUUGUUCCUGAAAAUAUGCUAAGAGAUCAAGAUUCCAAAAAAAUCCAAAAAACGGGGUUUACAGAAGAAGACUGAGUGUUGUCUGACCUCAAGCUUACGGGAUGCGAGACCAG
Molecule: long non-coding RNA, 309 nt
Organism: Symphalangus syndactylus (siamang)
Lineage: Eukaryota; Metazoa; Chordata; Mammalia; Primates; Hylobatidae
Source: RefSeq, a predicted model, not a curated record